GAUGAACGCUGGCGGCGUGCCUAAUACAUGCAAGUCGAGCGAACAGACGAGAGUGCUUGCACUCUCUGAUGUUAGCGGCGGACGGGUGAGUAACACGUGGGUAACCUACCUAUAAGACGGGGAUAACGUCGGGAAACCGGAGCUAAUACCGGAUAAUUUUUAGCUUCGCAUGAAGAAAUAGUGAAAGACGGUUCUGCUGUCACUUAUAGAUGGACCCGCGGUGUAUUAGCUAGUUGGUGAGGUAACGGCUCACCAAGGCAACGAUACAUAGCCGACCUGAGAGGGUGAUCGGCCACACUGGGACUGAGACACGGCCCAGACUCCUACGGGAGGCAGCAGUAGGGAAUCUUCCGCAAUGGGCGAAAGCCUGACGGAGCAAUGCCGCGUGAGUGAUGAAGGUUUUCGGAUCGUAAAACUCUGUUAUAAGGGAAGAACAUGUGCGUAAGUAACUGAGCGUAUCUUGACGGUACCUAAUCAGAAAGCCACGGCUAACUACGUG
This 499-nucleotide ribosomal RNA is filed under the name uncultured bacterium. RNAcentral describes it as "partial 16S ribosomal RNA". It matches the Rfam family "Bacterial small subunit ribosomal RNA", at positions 28 to 507 of the family's 1533-position model. The record is from RNAcentral.